AGAGUUUGAUCAUGGCUCAGAUUGAACGCUGGCGGAUUUACACAUGCAAGUCGAACGGUAACGCGGGGGCCCCUGGCGACGAGUGGGAACGGGUGAGUAAUACAUCGGAACGUGCCCAGUAGUGGGGGAUAGCUCGGCGAAAGCCGGAUUAAUACCGCAUACGACCUACGGGUGAAAGCGGGGGAUCGCAAGACCUCGCGCUAUUGGAGCGGCCGAUGCAGAUUANNUUUGGUGAGGAAAAGCUCACCAAGGCGCGAUCUGUAGCUGGUCUGAGAGGACGCCAGCCACACUGGGACUGAGACCGGCCCAGACUCCUACGGGAGGCAGCAGUGGGGAAUUUUGGACAAUGGGCGCAAGCCUGAUCCAGCAAUGCCGCGUGUGUGAUGAAGGCCUUCGGGUGAAAGCACUUUUAGUGGGAACGAACGGUCCGGGCUAAUACCCUGGACUACUGACGGUACCCGCAGAAUAAGCACCGGCUAAUACGUGCCAGCAGCCGCGGUAAUACGUAGGGUGCAAGCGUUAAUCGGAAUUACUGGGCGUAAAGCGUGCGCAGGCGGUUUUGUAAGACCGAUGUGAAAUCCCCGGGCUUAACCUGGGAACUGCAUUGGUGACUGCAAGGCUUGAGUGUGUCAGAGGGAGGUGGAAUUCCGCGUAGCAGUGAAAUGCGUAGAUAUGCGGAGGAACACCGAUGGCGAAGGCAGCCUCCUGGGAUAACACUGACGCUCAUGCACGAAAGCGUGGGGACAAACAGGAUUAGAUACCCUAGUAGUCC
This 772-nucleotide ribosomal RNA is filed under the name uncultured bacterium. RNAcentral's name for it is "bacterial SSU rRNA". It matches the Rfam family "Bacterial small subunit ribosomal RNA", at positions 8 to 796 of the family's 1533-position model. The record is from RNAcentral.